CAGGGAAUAGUUUAAGGAGAAUUU
Molecule: transfer RNA, 24 nt
Filed under: Loxodonta cyclotis (African forest elephant)
Lineage: Eukaryota; Metazoa; Chordata; Mammalia; Proboscidea; Elephantidae
Description: partial tRNA-Pro
Source: RNAcentral